RNAcentral lists this ribosomal RNA (466 nucleotides) under uncultured bacterium. RNAcentral's name for it is "partial 16S ribosomal RNA". It matches the Rfam family "Bacterial small subunit ribosomal RNA", at positions 28 to 507 of the family's 1533-position model. The record is from RNAcentral.
GAUGAACGCUGGCGGCGUGCUUAACACAUGCAAGUCGAACGGAAAGGCUCCUGCUUGCAGGGGUACUCGAGUGGCGAACGGGUGAGUAACACGUGGGUGAUCUGCCCUGCACUUCGGGAUAAGCCUGGGAAACUGGGUCUAAUACCGGAUAGGACGAUGGUUUGGAUGCCAUUGUGGAAAGUUUUUUCGGUGUGGGAUGAGCUCGCGGCCUAUCAGCUUGUUGGCGGGGUAAUGGCCUACCAAGGCGUCGACGGGUAGCCGGCCUGAGAGGGUGUACGGCCACAUUGGGACUGAGAUACGGCCCAGACUCCUACGGGAGGCAGCAGUGGGGAAUAUUGCACAAUGGGCGCAAGCCUGAUGCAGCGACGCCGCGUGGGGGAUGACGGCCUUCGGGUUGUAAACUCCUUUCGCUAGGGACGAAGCGCAAGUGACGGUACCUGGAGAAGAAGCACCGGCUAACUACGUG